This 429-nucleotide ribosomal RNA is filed under the name Actinomycetes bacterium. RNAcentral describes it as "Actinobacteria bacterium partial 16S ribosomal RNA". It matches the Rfam family "Bacterial small subunit ribosomal RNA", at positions 355 to 776 of the family's 1533-position model. The record is from RNAcentral. Lineage: Bacteria; Bacillati; Actinomycetota; Actinomycetes.
UAGGGAAUCUUCCGCAAUGGGCGAAAGCCUGACGGAGCAACGCCGCGUGAGUGAUGAAGGUCUUCGGAUCGUAAAACUCUGUUAUUAGGGAAGAACAAAUGUGUAAGUAACUAUGCACGUCUUGACGGUACCUAAUCAGAAAGCCACGGCUAACUACGUGCCAGCAGCCGCGGUAAUACGUAGGUGGCAAGCGUUAUCCGGAAUUAUUGGGCGUAAAGCGCGCGUAGGCGGUUUUUUAAGUCUGAAGUGAAAGCCCACGGCUCAACCGUGGAGGGUCAUUGGAAACUGGAAAACUUGAGUGCAGAAGAGGAAAGUGGAAUUCCAUGUGUAGCGGUGAAAUGCGCAGAGAUAUGGAGGAACACCAGUGGCGAAGGCGACUUUCUGGUCUGUAACUGACGCUGAUGUGCGAAAGCGGGGGGAUCAAACAGG